UUGAAUGAAUUUUGAACAAAAAUUUUUAUGAAAUUUUAAUUUGUAUAUUCAUAUCCAGGGAUGUGUGUGUAUAGGAGCUCUGCUUUCCAGUGUAUCCGAUACACCUGUUACUAAAUUAGUAUCUUCAUAUCAUAGCAAAGUGACAAAAAGAAACAACUUUAAUAUACUUCUGAUCUUCUAAUUUAUUGACGUUAUUCACAUAUAAAAGCUUUUCAGUACUCUCUAGGUCCUCUAGCUUCCACCAUUCUAUGAUAAACCCCGUAAUUUAUACGAAUGCUCUGCAUGAUAUAGUAUUACCGUUAGCCAUGUUUGUAUAUUUAUCAAUAUAGAUAUUAUUGUUUGAGGGAAAUAAUUCUAAAAUUCUUUAAAUUCACUUUCAUAUACAAUUUCUUGCAUGGAUCAUGAAA
This 407-nucleotide unclassified non-coding RNA is filed under the name Hevea brasiliensis (rubber tree). Lineage: Eukaryota; Viridiplantae; Streptophyta; Magnoliopsida; Malpighiales; Euphorbiaceae. The record is from RNAcentral.